CUGAAGAGUUUGAUCAUGGCUCAGAUUGAACGCUGGCGGCAGGCUUAACACAUGCAAGUCGAGCGGUAACAGAUCUAGCUUGCUAGAUGCUGACGAGCGGCGGACGGGUGAGUAAUGCAUAGGAAACUGCCCAGUAGUGGGGGAUAGCCCGGGGAAACCCGGAUUAAUACCGCGUACGCCCUUCGGGGGAAAGCAGGGGAUCUUCGGACCUUGCGCUAUUGGAUGUGCCUAUGUCGGAUUAGCUAGUUGGUGGGGUAAAGGCCUACCAAGGCGACGAUCCGUAGCUGGUCUGAGAGGAUGAUCAGCCACAUCGGGACUGAGACACGGCCCGAACUCCUACGGGAGGCAGCAGUGGGAAAUUUUCUGCAAUGG
This 372-nucleotide ribosomal RNA is filed under the name Rhizochromulina marina. RNAcentral's name for it is "partial Bacterial small subunit ribosomal RNA". It matches the Rfam family "Bacterial small subunit ribosomal RNA", at positions 1 to 374 of the family's 1533-position model. The record is from RNAcentral. Lineage: Eukaryota; Dictyochophyceae; Rhizochromulinales.